AGUGAACGCUGGCGGUAGGCCUAACACAUGCAAGUCGAACGGCAGCACAGUAAGAGCUUGCUCUUACGGGUGGCGAGUGGCGGACGGGUGAGGAAUACAUCGGAAUCUACUUUUUCGUGGGGGAUAACGUAGGGAAACUUACGCUAAUACCGCAUACGACCUCCGGGUGAAAGCAGGGGAUCUUCGGCCCUUGCGCGAUUGACUGAGCCGAUGUCGGAUUAGCUAGUUGGCGGGGUAAAGGCCCACCAAGGCGACGAUCCGUAGCUGGUCUGAGAGGAUGAUCAGCCACACUGGAACUGAGACACGGUCCAGACUCCUACGGGAGGCAGCAGUGGGGAAUAUUGGACAAUGGGCGCAAGCCUGAUCCAGCCAUACCGCGUGGGUGAAGAAGGCCUUCGGGUUGUAAAGCCCUUUUGUUGGGAAAGAAAAGCAGCAGGUUAAUACCCCGCUGUUCUGACGGUACCCAAAGAAUAAGCACCGGCUAACUUCGUG
This 492-nucleotide ribosomal RNA is filed under the name uncultured bacterium. RNAcentral describes it as "partial 16S ribosomal RNA". It matches the Rfam family "Bacterial small subunit ribosomal RNA", at positions 29 to 507 of the family's 1533-position model. The record is from RNAcentral.